RNAcentral lists this ribosomal RNA (1507 nucleotides) under Moraxella ovis. Its description in RNAcentral is "bacterial LSU rRNA". It matches the Rfam family "Bacterial large subunit ribosomal RNA", at positions 1 to 1575 of the family's 2925-position model. Lineage: Bacteria; Pseudomonadati; Pseudomonadota; Gammaproteobacteria; Moraxellales; Moraxellaceae. The record is from RNAcentral.
GGUCAAGUAAUGAAGUGCACAUGGUGGAUGCCUUGGCAGUCAGAGGCGAUGAAAGACGUGAUAGCCUGCGAUAAGCGUCGGUGAGGUGGCAAUAUCCUGUGACCCGGCGAUUUCUGAAUGGGGAAACCCAGCCAACAUAAGUUGGCUAUCCUAACCUUUGGUUAGGAGGCAAACCGGGAGAAGUGAAACAUCUCAGUACCCCGAGGAAAAGACAUCAAUAGAGAUUCCCCAAGUAGCGGCGAGCGAACGGGGAGUAGCCGAUCAAACUUGUAGUAGCAAAAUGGCGUGGGAAAGCCAACCAUAGUAGGUGAUAGUCCUGUAUGCGAAACUGCAAAUGCGACACAUUAAGUAGGGCGAGACACGUGAAAUCUUGUCUGAAGAUGGGGGGACCAUCCUCCAAGGCUAAAUACUCCUGACUGACCGAUAGUGAACCAGUACCGUGAGGGAAAGGCGAAAAGAACCCCUGUUAGGGGAGUGAAAUAGAACCUGAAACCGUGUGCAUACAAGCAGUCGGAGCCCACUUGUUGGGUGACGGCGUACCUUUUGUAUAAUGGGUCAGCGACUUAUAUUCUGUAGCAAGGUUAACCGUUUAGGGGAGCCGUAGGGAAACCGAGUCUUAAUAGGGCGUCUUAGUUGCAGGGUAUAGACCCGAAACCGAGUGAUCUAUCCAUGAGCAGGUUGAAAGUGCCGUAACAGGCACCGGAGGACCGAACCCACUGUCGUUGAAAAGCCAGGGGAUGACUUGUGGAUAGGGGUGAAAGGCUAAUCAAACUCGGUGAUAGCUGGUUCUCCCCGAAAGCUAUUUAGGUAGCGCCUCGGACGAAUACCAUUGGGGGUAGAGCACUGUUUCGGCUAGGGGGUCAUCCCGACUUACCAAACCGAUGCAAACUCCGAAUACCGAUGAGUACUAUCCGGGAGACAGACGGCGGGUGCUAACGUCCGUCGUCAAGAGGGAAACAACCCAGACCGCCAGCUAAGGCCCCAAAUUCCUAGUUAAGUGGGAAACGAUGUGGGAAGGCACAGACAGCUAGGAUGUUGGCUUAGAAGCAGCCAUCAUUUAAAGAAAGCGUAAUAGCUCACUAGUCGAGUCGACCUGCGCGGAAGAUGUAACGGGGCUCAAACUAGGAGCCGAAGCUGCGGAUUUAAUUGUUUCAAUUAAGUGGUAGGGGAGCGUUGUGUAAGCCUGUGAAGGUGUAUCGUAAGGUAUGCUGGAGGUAUCACAAGAGCGAAUGCUGACGUGAGUAACGACAAAACGGGUGAAAAGCCCGUUCGCCGAAAGACCAAGGGUUCCAGUCCAACGUUAAUCGGGGCUGGGUGAGUCGACCCCUAAGGCGAGGCCGAAAGGCGUAGUCGAUGGGAAAUUGGUUAAUAUUCCAAUACUUGUUUAUGAUGCGAUGGAGGGACGGAGAAGGUUAUGUCAGCCUGGCGUUGGUUGUCCAGGUGAAAGGAUGUAGGUAGGCUUGGUAGGCAAAUCCGCCAAGCUAUUACUGAGAUCUGAUAGCAAGCC